AAGCGCUUACAAUCAGACUUGAGUGUUUUGGUUCCCCCUUCCUUUUGGUUGGGUUAUUCCAUUUCAUCCAGGCCAACAUCAGUUUUGGUGGUUGGUUAAAGGCCCUGAGAAUGUAUCUACUUCGGUCGACUUAUAGCUCAAGGUGUCAUGCAACCUACCGGGACUGAGGAACGCGAUUCUAGGAUGUUGGCGUAAUGGUUGUCAGCGA
RNAcentral lists this ribosomal RNA (208 nucleotides) under Chaetothyriales sp. RNAcentral describes it as "partial large subunit ribosomal RNA". The record is from RNAcentral. Lineage: Eukaryota; Fungi; Ascomycota; Eurotiomycetes; Chaetothyriales.